AAUCGCUCUUUCUUGAAGCAGGCUGUGUCUAGGUUUCUUGUGUGGCAGUCGGGUGUGUGAGAGCAGCCCCUCCACCGGCUGGUCCUGCUACCACAGACUCACUUGCAGUUGGAGCCCUAGAACUCCUGCAUGGCUGGACUCAGAGGGCUGGAGAUCUUCCAGUACUUAACUGAAUCUAGGGAGGACACGGUUUUUAAAUUUCUAAAUCAAAGAACUCUUUUGGCCUGGCUUCCUAGAGGUACCCUGUCCUUCAGCUGGGGACCUUCUCUCUAGGGCUCAUGCUCACUGACCAGCCUCUCCUUACAACUGAAGACUUUUGCAGGACACUCUUCCUAGCUGUUGCCUUCGUGUUGAGUCCCGGUGUCUGAGCGUUUCCUCCUGACUGCUGUACUUGAGCAAUCACCUGGCACAGGACAAGACAUUUCAAAGAAAGUAUUAAAUUCAUUCACGAGUGCCGGCUCCGUGGUGAGAGCUGCCUUGUACACUGCCUGGCCGGGGUCUCCAGGAGCGUGACGCUGGUGAUCGCGUACAUCAUGACCGUGACCG
RNAcentral lists this small RNA (546 nucleotides) under Pongo abelii (Sumatran orangutan). RNAcentral's name for it is "processed transcript". The record is from RNAcentral. Lineage: Eukaryota; Metazoa; Chordata; Mammalia; Primates; Hominidae.